Molecule: small RNA, 29 nt
Filed under: Bombyx mori (domestic silkworm)
Lineage: Eukaryota; Metazoa; Arthropoda; Insecta; Lepidoptera; Bombycidae
Description: ovarian small RNA-22756
Source: RNAcentral
UAGGUAUUAUUUCCCGCUUGCAAGGACCC